Sus scrofa (pig) is the source of this 2106-nucleotide non-coding RNA. The record is from RefSeq and is a predicted model, not a curated record. Lineage: Eukaryota; Metazoa; Chordata; Mammalia; Artiodactyla; Suidae.
AGACAGGGCCGGCCCCGGGUCAGGACGGUGGGGGACCCGGGAAAUCGCCGGCCCCCUUCCUCCCACUCACACCCAGAAGAGGGGCGGAAUAAGGGUCGACCCGACACCCAGGUGGCGAAGGGGCGCACAAAGCUUCAGCAACUACUUACUGGCAGCCAUCCUGCACCAGGAAGGGAGAGUUUGCUGAGAAUGAAGCCAGUCUUAAGAAAAACUAGAAGAGAAAAUACAGGUCCUGGUCACAUUAUUUGGAUUGCUGGAUCAAGCUAUGCCUGAAGCCAUUUGUGGACUUUUUAGCAAUGUUCACUAAUAAAUUUCAUUUACUUUUCAGUCAGUUUGAGUAGGAUUCUCUGUUUUGUUACCCGUAAUCCUAACACAAACCCCAACUAAAUACGAUUCUGCUGCUAACCACCUGGAAUUAGUGUCAGACUCCACAAGUUUAAGGGCACAGUCCUCAGCAAGACUGCCCUUACUUCAGGUGCCAACCACACUUUAAGGGUCCCUAGCCACACUUCUGACCAAUUGGCAAAUUCAGGGGCUCCCAUGAUUCCCUCAGUUCAGUAAUUCACAAGAAUGACUCACACAACUCAAGAAAGCGCACACUUACAAUUACAGUUUUAUUUAGAGGAUACAAUCAGGGCCAGGCAAGAGACACACGGGUGAAUUCUGGGAGGGUCUUGAACACAGAGCUUCCAUGUUUUCUAUCUGUGCAGCAAGGACAUGUCAUCUCCCCAGCACAUCUGUGUUCCCCAACUUGGAACACCUCUGAGCCUCAGUGUCCAGAAAUUUUACUGGGAUUCCAUUAGGAAGGUAUGAUUGAUUGGAUCACUGGCCACUGAGACUGAACUCAAUCUCCAGCAUGUUAGAGCUGUUUCCUCAAGCUGCCCCUCCUUUCUGUUCCCUCUACCUCUGCAUUAAUUCAAUCCCUCCUCACCUCUCACCUGAAUCUAGUGUAGCCUCUUAGUUCUUUUUUUUUUUUUUUUUUUUUUGCCUGUUGCUUUCCUUUUUCUUUCUUUCUUUUUUUUUUUUUUUUUCAGGCCUCACCCCUGGCAUAGGGAGGUUCCCAGGCUAGGAGUCGAAUUGGAGCUGUAGCUGCUGGCUUACACCACAGGCACAGCAAUGCGGGAUCCAAGUUUCCUGUCAACUUCUGCCACCCCCUGGGCAGUUAUAAAGUCCAUGUGGCCCUCUCAGUUUCCUGCCUCAUUUCCUCCAAUCCAAUGAAUUUCUUCUCAAUUAUGCAUCCUCCAUAAUCUUCUCUUUAUACUGUGAUCUCUCCUUAGGUUCUCUUAUGAUUUAUACACAGUCUGUGUACUCAUGACAGUUUUUUUUCCAGCUCAGUUACACUUCUGAAAUUCAUACCUCCAUAUUCAACUGCCUUUUUGGCACAUCCCUUUACAUGUCUCGUACUCAAGCAUCUCAAACUUAACUUCUCGAAACUUAGCUACUUCUUCUUUGACCCUCCUCUGGCAAAUCAGCUGCAUUUCAGCAGUUAUGUUAUCUACCUUCCUCACGCCCUCAUUUAUUCUAUCACUAAACCUGAUCCAGUUUAUCUCCAAGAUAUAACUUGAAUCUAUUUACUUCUCACCAUCCCCACAGCUAAAGCCCAGGCCAAGGCAUCAUCUCUUUCUGCCUGGACUAUUACAAUAGUGCCCAGCAGGUCCCUCACUGGUCAUUCUUGACAUCUUUCAAUCUACUGUUUACAAAGCAAGCAAAGUGAUUUUUUUUUUUUAUGCAAACUUCAUCUUUUUCUCCUUAAAGCUUUUUUGAGACUUUCCAUUUCUCAUUUUCUCACAAUUCAACAUCUUUUGCAUGUUCGACAAGGGCCUUGCAUGAUCUGGUUCCCAGAGUCUUUCCAGUUUGCCUCCCGCCACUCUCCCCCUUACUAGAUCAGUCACACAGUCCUUCUCUCUUUUCUGAAGAUGCUGAGCCCCCUCAUGCUUCAGAGUGAUUACACACGCAGUCCUUUCUACUUUGAACAUUCUCCACGCCCUACUCCCAUCUCCAUCUACCCAUUACUGUGUGACAGGAGCUGCAACCUCAACAAGAUAGAACUCUCUCCCCCCAAGAGAUCAUUGUAAUAAGAGACCUACAUGUAAGAAAAAAAAAAAA